UGAGGGAUAUUGGGCAAUGGGGGAAACCCUGACCCAGCGACGCCGCGUGAGGGAAGACGGUCUUCGGAUUGUAAACCUCUGUCUUUGGGGACGAAAAAGGACGGUACCCAAGGAGGAAGCUCCGGCUAACUACGUGCCAGCAGCCGCGGUAAUACGUAGGGAGCGAGCGUUGUCCGGAAUUACUGGGUGUAAAGGGAGCGUAGGCGGGAUUGCAAGUUGGAUGUGAAAACUGCGGGCUCAACCCGGAGAGUGCAUUCAAAACUGCGAUUCUUGAGUGAAGUAGAGGCAAGCGGAAUUCCUAGUGUAGCGGUGAAAUGCGUAGAUAUUAGGAGGAACACCAGUGGCGAAGGCGGCUUGCUGGGCUUUUACUGACGCUGAGGCUCGAAAGUGUGGGGAGCAA
RNAcentral lists this ribosomal RNA (400 nucleotides) under uncultured bacterium. Its description in RNAcentral is "bacterial SSU rRNA". It matches the Rfam family "Bacterial small subunit ribosomal RNA", at positions 355 to 771 of the family's 1533-position model. The record is from RNAcentral.